GUAAUCGUGGCCUAGUGGUGAAGGCAACGGACUAGAAAUCCGUUGCAGUCACA
RNAcentral lists this transfer RNA (53 nucleotides) under Opisthocomus hoazin. It matches the Rfam family "tRNA", at positions 1 to 49 of the family's 71-position model. Rfam says of the family: Transfer RNA (tRNA) molecules are approximately 80 nucleotides in length. Their secondary structure includes four short double-helical elements and three loops (D, anti-codon, and T loops). Lineage: Eukaryota; Metazoa; Chordata; Aves; Opisthocomiformes; Opisthocomidae. The record is from Rfam by way of RNAcentral.